RNAcentral lists this transfer RNA (77 nucleotides) under Pseudomonadota bacterium. Its description in RNAcentral is "Proteobacteria bacterium (wastewater metagenome) tRNA-His". It matches the Rfam family "tRNA". Rfam says of the family: Transfer RNA (tRNA) molecules are approximately 80 nucleotides in length. The record is from RNAcentral. Lineage: Bacteria; Pseudomonadati; Pseudomonadota.
GCGGGCGUAGCUCAGUUGGUUAGAGCGCUAGGUUGUGGUUCUAGAGGUCGCCGGUUCGAUCCCGGUCGCUCGCCCCA